RNAcentral lists this ribosomal RNA (500 nucleotides) under uncultured Oscillibacter sp. RNAcentral's name for it is "bacterial SSU rRNA". It matches the Rfam family "Bacterial small subunit ribosomal RNA", at positions 897 to 1402 of the family's 1533-position model. Lineage: Bacteria; Bacillati; Bacillota; Clostridia; Eubacteriales; Oscillospiraceae. The record is from RNAcentral.
AAACUCAAAUGAAUUGACGGGGGCCCGCACAAGCGGUGGAUUAUGUGGUUUAAUUCGAAGCAACGCGAAGAACCUUACCAGGACUUGACAUCCUACUAACGAGGUAGAGAUACGUCAGGUGCCCUUCGGGGAAAGUAGAGACAGGUGGUGCAUGGUUGUCGUCAGCUCGUGUCGUGAGAUGUUGGGUUAAGUCCCGCAACGAGCGCAACCCUUAUUGUUAGUUGCUACGCAAGAGCACUCUAGCGAGACUGCCGUUGACAAAACGGAGGAAGGUGGGGACGACGUCAAAUCAUCAUGCCCCUUAUGUCCUGGGCUACACACGUAAUACAAUGGCGGUCAACAGAGGGAUGCAAAGCCGUGAGGUGGAGCGAACCCUAAAGCCGUCUCAGUUCGGAUCGCAGGCUGCAACUCGCCUGCGUGAAGUCGGAAUCGCUAGUAAUCGCGGAUCAGAAUGCCGCGGUGAAUACGUUCCCGGGCCUUGUACACACCGCCCGUCACCA